Molecule: ribosomal RNA, 226 nt
Filed under: uncultured bacterium
Lineage: Bacteria
Description: partial 16S ribosomal RNA
Rfam family: Bacterial small subunit ribosomal RNA
Source: RNAcentral
GAUCCUGGCUCAGGAUGAACGCUAGCUACAGGCUUAACACAUGCAAGUCGAGGGGCAGCAUGGUCUUAGCUUUGCUAAGACUGAUGGCGACCGGCGCACGGGUGAGUAACACGUAUCCAACCUGCCGUCUACUCUUGGACAGCCUUCUGAAAGGAAGAUUAAUACAAGAUGGCAUCAUGAGUCCGCAUGUUCAUAUGAUUAAAGGUAUUCCGGGUAGACGAUGGGG